This 332-nucleotide unclassified non-coding RNA is filed under the name soil metagenome. Its description in RNAcentral is "partial contains 5.8S ribosomal RNA, internal transcribed spacer 2, and large subunit ribosomal RNA". The stretch from base 1 to 120 matches the Rfam family "5.8S ribosomal RNA", at positions 35 to 154 of the family's 154-position model. The record is from RNAcentral.
GAUGAAGAACGUAGCGAAAUGCGAUAAGUAAUGUGAAUUGCAGAAUUCAGUGAAUCAUCGAAUCUUUGAACGCACAUUGCGCCCGCCAGUAUUCUGGCGGGCAUGCCUGUUCGAGCGUCAUUUCAACCAUCAAGCCCCAGGCUUGUGUUGGAGCCCUGCGGCUGCCGCAGCCUCCCAAAACCAGUGGCGGGCUCGCUAUCACACCGAGUGCAGUAGUUUACUCUUCGCUCAGGGCGUGUGGCGGGUGCUAGCCGUAAAACCCCCAACUUCUCAAGGUUGACCUCGGAUCAGGUAGGAAUACCCGCUGAACUUAAGCAUAUCAAAGCGGAGGA